This 1990-nucleotide long non-coding RNA is filed under the name Equus caballus (horse). RNAcentral describes it as "lncRNA (ENSECAG00000053677.1)". The record is from RNAcentral. Lineage: Eukaryota; Metazoa; Chordata; Mammalia; Perissodactyla; Equidae.
AUUCUGACGCAGAAAUCUAAACUGGAAAACUUUAGAAGAAACACCUGGAAAAGCAGUGUAUCAACAUUCAAAAUGCAGAAACACAGGCAUAAUGAGAUGAUGAAAUUCAUUCAUGGCCAUUUUCGUCUAAAUCAAUGAUUUCUCAACCAGGUGUGAUUUUUUUCCCCCAGGGGACAUUUUGGCAAUGUCUGGAGACAUUUCUGGUUGUCAUGACUCACGAAGCAGGUGGAGUGAUACUGGCACCUAGUGUACGGAGGUCAGGGAGCUGCUAUAAACAUCCUAUCAGGCACAAGACCACUCAUCACAAAGAAUGAUCCAGCCCCAGACAUCAGUAGUGCCGUGGUGGAGGACCCCUGCUCUACAGCAUUACCUUGUUGGAGUGGUAUCUCCAAAUCUCCAGAUCCAGAUGGAGUUAGUGAUAUUGCCAUGGUUGACCUCAACUCCCAGCAGGUUCAACAUGGUGAUCUUUCCCACUGCUCACCCUAGGAUACCUCCAUUAGGUCUGGGAACUCAAUCUGUGCAGAGUCUAAACUCUAACAUGUUCCUUGCUGCUACACUGUUGAUUUUCUCAGAAGGUAAUGGCCGUGCUUUUAUUUUGAAGUGGUUCAGGCUCCUUUUAAUUAGGAAGACAUAGGUGCAUUUCUACUCAGAUAUAUGGGCCAGUUCAUUUCAUUUGAGUAGAAACAAAGUCAAAUGCUAGAUCAAGGAAAGAGCCCUCUGAUGAAGCCUCUACAGCACAUUGUGUUAACUUUUCCAUGCUAACUAAUGUUGAGAAAGGGGAAGCUUUGUAUUCUUUUUUUGCACCUUUGUCACAGAAUCACCUGUUGACCUACUUCUGGCAUUCUGCUUAAACCAUCGUGUGCUGGAGUCUAUAGAAAAUGCAGUCGAGGAGAGAGAGGACACGGGGGAAAGAGAAAAGAGAUAUUUUAUAACUUAAAGUGCAUGAGCAUAGACCCUCCCCUUUGUUAUUUACAAAUUAUACUAUGAAGCAAAAAUAUUGAGUGACGGUAACUUCAACCAAAAUUACAUUCAAGUUAAAAAAGACUUGGGAACCAUCCCUGAUUAUUUUCUCAUCCCAUUACAGUCAAGAUUUAGUAGACUACCUAAAAUACAAAGACAACCAGGACAAAAUUCUUCUCUUUGAGUUAAGGUCAGCAGAGAGAUAGGUCAUGAAACAGCUUUCUGAGACAGAAAGAAGAGAGGUGGUCAGGGACUGGGGGAGGGGGAAAUGGGGAGACAGUGCUUCAUGGGUACGGAGUCUGGGGUAAUGAAAAUGUUUCGGAAACAGAUAAUGGUGAUGGCUGCACAGCUUUGUGAAUGUGGUUAAUGCCUCUGAAUUUUACACUUAAACAUGGUUAAAAUUGCAAAUUUUAUGUUAUACAUACUUUGCUACAAUAAAAACAAUUAUCUGUGAAGUGCAGCAAUGGCUAUAGGUGAGAUAUAUGGAAAAGAUCUUGUGGGUAAACAGAAGAAAUAAUCAUUUAAAAACAAAAUUUAUUGAAUUCAUACUUUUUCUUAGACACUUUUCUAGGCAUUUGAUAAUCAGUGUCUCAGUCUGCGUCCUCCAAGAAGCAGAUGCCAAGAUGAAAUGAGGAAUUAAAUAUACUAGAUGUAUUGGGGAAACACCUCUGCAGGAUAAAGGGGAGGAAGCAGGAGCAGGCAGGAAGAGUCUCCAGCUGCAGUGCAAGUCUGACACCAGCCAUGUCAGGGGAAGGUCAUGGGCCAAGAAUGAGAGCAACCCAGUCAACCCCCAGCCUUAAGGAAAGCACCAUCCUCCCCACCCAGCUAACCUGCAGACCCAAGAGUGAGAAAUACAGGCUUAGGAGUAAUUGAUCCCGCCUGGGGGCCGUGGCAAAGACUUCACAGAGGAAGUAAUAUUUAAGCAGAGUAUUCUUAAAAAUAGUAAAAUAGUUCUUGCAUUUUUGGAAAAAAUGUUUUAUCUCUUUUUAUUGUCAAAACUUUGGAAAGUAUUAAAAGGAAAGUCAAAGAG